CCCGCACAAGCGGCGGAGCAUGUGGCUUAAUUCGACGCAACGCGAAGAACCUUACCAAGGCUUGACAUACACCGGAAAGCCGUAGAGAUACGGUCCCCCUUGUGGUCGGUGUACAGGUGGUGCAUGGCUGUCGUCAGCUCGUGUCGUGAGAUGUUGGGUUAAGUCCCGCAACGAGCGCAACCCUUGUUCUGUGUUGCCAGCAUGCCUUUCGGGGUGAUGGGGACUCACAGGAGACUGCCGGGGUCAACUCGGAGGAAGGUGGGGACGACGUCAAGUCAUCAUGCCCCUUAUGUCUUGGGCUGCACACGUGCUACAAUGGCCGGUACAAUGAGCUGCGAUACCGUGAGGUGGAGCGAAUCUCAAAAAGCCGGUCUCAGUUCGGAUUGGGGUCUGCAACUCGACCCCAUGAAGUCGGAGUCGCUAGUAAUCGCAGAUCAGCAUUGCUGCGGUGAAUACGUUCCCGGGCCUUGUACACACCGCCCGUCACGUCACGAAAGUCGGUAACACCCGAAGCCGGUGGCCCAACCCGUGAGGGAGGGAAUCGUCGAAGGUGGGACUGGCGAUUGGGACGAAGUCGUAACCAAGGUAACCAGGGUAGAG
This 600-nucleotide ribosomal RNA is filed under the name uncultured Streptomyces sp. RNAcentral's name for it is "bacterial SSU rRNA". It matches the Rfam family "Bacterial small subunit ribosomal RNA", at positions 920 to 1510 of the family's 1533-position model. The record is from RNAcentral. Lineage: Bacteria; Bacillati; Actinomycetota; Actinomycetes; Kitasatosporales; Streptomycetaceae.